GGAUCCAGACUUUGAUUCUGGCUCAGGAUGAACGCUAGCUACAGGCUUAACACAUGCAAGUCGAGGGGAAACGACAUCGAAAGCUUGCUUUUGAUGGGCGUCGACCGGCGCACGGGUGAGUAACGCGUAUCCAACCUGCCCACCACUUGGGGAUAACCUUGCGAAAGUAAGACUAAUACCCAAUGAUAUCUCUAGAAGACAUCUGAAAGAGAUUAAAGAUUUAUCGGUGAUGGAUGGGGAUGCGUCUGAUUAGCUUGUUGGCGGGGUAACGGCCCACCAAGGCAACGAUCAGUAGGGGUUCUGAGAGGAAGGUCCCCCACAUUGGAACUGAGACACGGUCCAAACUCCUACGGGAGGCAGCAGUGAGGAAUAUUGGUCAAUGGACGAGAGUCUGAACCAGCCAAGUAGCGUGCAGGAUGACGGCCCUAUGGGUUGUAAACUGCUUUUAUAAGGGAAUUAAGUGAGUCUCGUGAGACUUUUUGCAUGUACCUUAUGAAUAAGGACCGGCUAAUUCCGUGCCAGCAGCCGCGGUAAUACGGAAGGUCCGGGCGUUAUCCGGAUUUAUUGGGUUUAAAGGGAGCGUAGGCCGGAGAUUAAGCGUGUUGUGAAAUGUAGACGCUCAACGUCUGCACUGCAGCGCGAACUGGUUUCCUUGAGUACGCACAAAGUGGGCGGAAUUCGUGGUGUAGCGGUGAAAUGCUUAGAUAUCACGAAGAACUCCGAUUGCGAAGGCAGCUCACUGGAGCGCAACUGACGCUGAAGCUCGAAAGUGCGGGUAUCGAACAGGAUUAGAUACCCUGGUAGUCCGCACGGUAAACGAUGGAUGCCCGCUGUUGGUCUGAAUAGGUCAGCGGCCAAGCGAAAG
This 865-nucleotide ribosomal RNA is filed under the name uncultured Bacteroidota bacterium. Its description in RNAcentral is "bacterial SSU rRNA". It matches the Rfam family "Bacterial small subunit ribosomal RNA", at positions 1 to 857 of the family's 1533-position model. The record is from RNAcentral. Lineage: Bacteria; Pseudomonadati; Bacteroidota.